UUUAGAGCUACAUGAUGCAAUGUAAUUUUUUUUUUUCUGGACAGUGAAGCAACAGUUGUUUCUCUCUCAACUAAUUUUUGUUCCAAGACCUCACAAGGCGUGAGGAGAAUAACUUCCUGAGUAAAGAAAGCAUUGAGUGCCUGCAUCUAAAGAUACACAAAUCCAAGAACUUAAUGGGAGGAGGGAGGAGACUAGAGGGAAUGAAAACAGAAGUAAGUCAUUGCUGCUGCAGAGAAAUUAGAAACCAAGACCUUUGUUUUGCUUUCUUUAUUCCUUUAUUCCUUUCUUUCUUUCUUUCUUUCUUUCUUUCACUGUCCCCUCUGUCUAUAAAAAACCAUAUGGACUUAAGUUCAGCUUUCUCCAGCUGGGGAAAAAAAAAUUCUAAAACAUGCUUUCCUUUUCUUUUAAAGAUCUAGGUCACUGAUUGUGGAAGUUGGGAUAUGGAAGAUUCUUAGGAAAUGUUGCUCCAAUAAAUUCUAGUCUGACUUAUUGGGUUGUUGAAUUAUAAAUUCUAUUAAGGCAUAUUUUCCUCUGCUUUUCAACUUCAGCAAGUUUUCCCAGUGUACAAUGCUCAGAUUACACACAAGUGAGCACUAAAGUGGAGACGGCGGGAGGAGGGUAGAUAAGAAUUAGGAGUCACAUCCAGAAAAUUCCUAGAGCCAUGAACCUUAGGGGCACACAAUUAGCAGGCUUCCCGGGAAGGUUAUACAUCAUGCCCAGGACUUUACAUUAAAAUGACUUUUUACUUGAGUCAUUUGUUAGUCCAUUACCAGUUCUCAUAUCAGAUUGCAUUUCAUCUUGUAUUAAAUCAAGGUAAUCUGGCAUGUAAAAAUAGUCUCCUUCAUUUCACUUUCAGCUCUGGGCAAGACUGGAGAUUCCACACAUUUUGCCUCACUCUCCUCCAUGAGGCACGCAGAAGCACAGCAUUUUGCCGAAAGUGCUCAUCGUUGAUUGAAUCCCAGAUUCUCCCACGAGACAUGCAAUGCACAAAUGAAGGCCGAACUGUGUGUACUAAAAUGCUGCUUUUUCUCUUUAGGGUUCCACUCGUUCUCCUUCUGCUACAGUCCUAA
Molecule: long non-coding RNA, 1070 nt
Filed under: Capra hircus (goat)
Lineage: Eukaryota; Metazoa; Chordata; Mammalia; Artiodactyla; Bovidae
Description: lncRNA (ENSCHIG00010011328.1)
Source: RNAcentral